Molecule: ribosomal RNA, 253 nt
Filed under: uncultured bacterium
Lineage: Bacteria
Description: partial 16S ribosomal RNA
Rfam family: Bacterial small subunit ribosomal RNA
Source: RNAcentral
UACGAGGGGGGCGAGCGUUGUUCGGAAUUAUUGGGCGUAAAGGGUGCGUAGGCGGUUUGGUAAGUCUGAUGUGAAAUCUAUGGGCUCAACUCAUAGUCUGCAUCGGAAACUGCCGGGCUUGAGUGUGGGAGAGGUGAGUGGAAUUCCUGGUGUAGCAGUGAAAUGCGUAGAUAUCAGGAGGAACACCGAUGGCGAAGGCAGGUCUCUGGGCUGACACUGACGCUCAUGCACGAAAGCGUGGGGAGCAAACAGG